UCUUCCAUGACUGCCCAAGAGGACAUCUCCCUAAAAAAAGACAUCUCCCUCUGCCCUAGCAGAUUCCACCCCUCCACCAAUCUUGCCCCAGCGAGGCAUCGAUGUGCCGUGGAGGGAUCCCUAGCGCCGCUCCUCCUCCUCUCCAGUUUCCACACCGGGAUUCCUUCUAAUAAAGAUCCAAGCAGUAUCUUCUUGAUUCCCUUCCUCUCCAACCAUUGAAUCGCCUCUGCCCCAAAGGUACGUUAUGAUAUCCAAGUGAUUGGAAAUCUGAAAUCAAUCCUUCCUCUCUGGCUCACCCUAAUAUCUUUCUUUGUAACCUUUGAAUCUCCUUAGCUUCCAUGUCCUAAGUACGCUGCAAUCAUGCAUCUAUUUUUGAUCUUACAUGAAUAUAUCCCGUGAUGAAUAUUGUUUGAUGGGAGAGCCAUACCGAUGGUAGUUUGAAUUAAUUUAGUUGGCCACCACCAUGGACGAUACUAGGCAUUCCACAUGCCCUCGAGGCAAGAUGCCCACCAGAAUGAACCCCAUGCUACAGUUAUAUUGAUUGAGGUGGACAAGCCUGAAAAGUUUAGGGAAGCUUCAAGGUACAGGUAGAUGUAUGUUGCCUAUGUACAAUCCUAUAGUUUAUUUUAUUUGCAAAUUGUGCAUAGUGAUAAAUUUCUACAAGAAGAUGCAAAAUAAUUGAUCGCAUAUAGCCUACAUGCGAACAUACAUGUCCUAGAUCUGUUUAUAAUAAUUUCGUAUUACUGAGAUUUUAUCAUGCUAUUAAGUAGUGCCCUAGCAGGAAACAUACUGUUGCUGCAAAUUUUCUUUUGGCAUGCAAGGGCUGAAGUCUGUUGAAUUCAGGUACUGUUGCUGCCAUUUUUCUUCAUCUAAUUUUCUAUACUAUUUUUCAAAAUGAUACAAUGGAAUUUCAUUAUGUGGUUGCAACCAUGAUAGUAAACUAUCAUAAAAGUUGGGAUAGAAAUGACAUCACUGCUCACAUAACUCAGACUAAAUUCGCUUCUCAUGUUAUUUGAUAGUGUGAUUUUUAUCAUAGUGAACACCACCACCACUGCUUGGCCACUUCACCACCUACCUCUAGCCGUUCAGUAACCUACAGGUCAUGCUUUGCAAAUUAUCAGCCUUCGUCGGUUGGUUAUUUGUUGUUUAUUUUGCUCACCAUUAUUUCCAUGUUAUUAAUUGGAGAAAGUAUGAUGUAUCGCUUAUCCAUACUGUUGGUGUAGCCCAGACAACGGUCUGUGAUGCAGGAUCCUUGGUUUUCGAAUGAUUGAUCUCCAUGUAAUUCAAAUUUAUGGUGGCAUAAUACGCAUUGAUAUUAACACAUUUCCUCAACUAAGUUUAUGAUUGUCUUCAGUCCCUACAAUAAUUUAUAGUGCAGGCCGCAGAUAUGGUUAGUGCAAUUCCAACUCCAUAGAGAACUUACUGUAAAUGACCGAUUCCGUGGCAUACUCAAUCCAGAGGUUUUGCUUUUUCUUCAGUCAUCCAUACCUCAAACCUGAUAGUGCUUACUAAUUUCGCAAAUAUCUGGUGCAUGUACAUCCCUUCAUAUGAAACCUAUAAAUUACUUUCUUUUAGGAAAUACUCUAAUGGCAGAGAUUUAUUCUUUGUUAAUGGCAUGACUAAUUUGGAUUACUCUUAUAUUUAUUUUCUCUAUCGUGAAUUUUUCGCAGGUACGAGUAAAUAUUGGUUCUUUGACAUUGAUCCUUAAAUUUAAUAGUACUAAUUCAAAAGAUGGGUGCAUAACGAUAUCAUCGGAUUAAUCAAGAUUACAAACUACUUUUUCAUUUGGGUAUGGACGUGGGUGGUAUCAUUUUCACAGGAGCAGCGACUGGACAUGCAUCAAUAACUCACAUGCUACUACAAUGGACGACUCUACAACAUUUUAUUUUAGAUGUACAACAAUAGAAGGGAAAUGUGCAUGUAGACGAUCAUGUGUUUGACGAUCAUACUUCUAAGUCCUUACUAUAACAACAAGAAGUUAAUCAGCAUGAUGUACUUAUGUUGUUGUGAUCAAACAUGUUGUCAUGUUUUAAAUGCCAUCUAAUGCAACUUGAGACCACAUGCUCUGUUUUGCAAAUUAAAGCUGAAUUAACUAUGAUAUGACAUAAUUUCAUCUCUUCUUCUCA
Long non-coding RNA from Triticum aestivum (bread wheat), 2126 nucleotides. RefSeq lists it as uncharacterized. NCBI's taxonomy places the organism in Eukaryota, Viridiplantae, Streptophyta, Magnoliopsida, Poales, Poaceae. The transcript is spliced from 2 exons. The record is from RefSeq and is a predicted model, not a curated record.